GGGGGGGUGAAUUGGUUUCUUUUACUUUUAACUAUCUUACUUGUGUUAAAUGAUGAGUUAGUAAACUUAAACAAAUCACAAUACAAACAACAAGAAGUAUAGUGGUUCGGUGCUCUCCUUAGCACCUACGUCCACUCCCCAAGCGACCCCUUGGGAAUUCACUAUAAUCCCGCGGAUUACAGUUGGAUUGUUUUCCAGGCUCACAAUCCAAAAACCUUUACACUUUGGUUUUCCGGGUUCACUAAAAACCUAUGUUGGUUUUACGGGCUCACCAACGAACCUAUGUUGGUUUU
This 293-nucleotide long non-coding RNA is filed under the name Phoenix dactylifera (date palm). RNAcentral describes it as "long non-coding RNA (PDAC_LNC012092)". Lineage: Eukaryota; Viridiplantae; Streptophyta; Magnoliopsida; Arecales; Arecaceae. The record is from RNAcentral.